AUUAAACGGCCGCGGUACCCUAACCGUGCAAAGGUAGCGUAAUCACUUGUCUAUUAAUUGUAGACCUGUAUGAAAGGCAUCAUGAGGGCCUAACUGUCUCUUAUAAUAAAUCAAUUAAACUGAUCUCCUAGUACAAAAGCUAGAAUACCAACAUAAGACCAGAAGACCCUGUGAAGCUUUAACUAACCUAUUAAACCAUAUAAUAACUACUUUCGGUUGGGGCGACCUUGGAAAAAAAAGAAACUUCCAACUAAAACUCACAAAGGCCCACAAGCCCGACCCAGCAUAGCUGAUAAUUGAACCAAGUUACUCCAGGGAUAACAGCGCUAUCUUCUUCAAGAGCCCAUAUCAAAAAGAAGGUUUACGACCUCGAUGUUGGAUCAGGACAUCCUAAUGGUGCAGCAGCUAUUAAGGGUUCGUUUGUUCAACGAUUAACAGUCCUACGUG
Molecule: ribosomal RNA, 447 nt
Filed under: Brachyorrhos albus
Lineage: Eukaryota; Metazoa; Chordata; Lepidosauria; Squamata; Homalopsidae
Description: partial 16S ribosomal RNA
Rfam family: Bacterial large subunit ribosomal RNA
Source: RNAcentral